AGAUUGAACGCUGGCGGCAUGCCUUACACAUGCAAGUCGAACGGUAGAGUUGCAAUACUCGAGAGUGGCGAACGGGUGAGUAAUAUAUCGGAACGUGCCCAGUCGUGGGGGAUAACGUAGAGGAAUUUACGCUAAUACCGCAUACGAUCUACGGAUGAAAGCGGGGGAUCGCAAGACCUCGCGCGAUUGGAGCGGCUGAUAUCAGAUUAGGUUGUUGGUGAGGUAAAAGCUCACCAAGCCGACGAUCUGUAGCUGGUUUGAGAGAACGACCAGCCACACUGGGACUGAGACACGGCCCAGACUCCUACGGGAGGCAGCAGUGGGAAUUUUGGACAAUGGGCGAAAGCCUGAUCCAGCAAUGCCGCGUGCAGGAAGAAGGCCUUGGUGUAACGUGCUUUAGUACGGAACGAAAGGUACUUUCUAAUAAAGAAGGCUUAUAGACGGUACCGUAAGAAUAAGCACCGGCUAACUACGU
RNAcentral lists this ribosomal RNA (475 nucleotides) under uncultured soil bacterium. RNAcentral describes it as "bacterial SSU rRNA". It matches the Rfam family "Bacterial small subunit ribosomal RNA", at positions 26 to 506 of the family's 1533-position model. The record is from RNAcentral.